GAAAGUUUUAACGCCGAAAGAUGAGCCUGCACUUGAUUAGCUAGUUGGUAAGGUAAAGGCUUACCAAGGCAAUGAUCAAUAGCUGUUCUUAGAGGAAGACAGCCACAUUGGGACUGAGACACGGCCCAGACUCCUACGGGAGGCAGCAGUGGGGAAUCUUGCACAAUGGGGGAAACCCUGAUGCAGCGAUGCCGCGUGAGUGAAGAAGGCCUUUGGGUUGUAAAACUCUUUCGUCGGGGAAGAAAAUGACUGUACCCGAAUAAGAAG
This 267-nucleotide ribosomal RNA is filed under the name uncultured bacterium. Its description in RNAcentral is "partial 16S ribosomal RNA". It matches the Rfam family "Bacterial small subunit ribosomal RNA", at positions 202 to 490 of the family's 1533-position model. The record is from RNAcentral.